Molecule: ribosomal RNA, 353 nt
Filed under: uncultured fungus
Lineage: Eukaryota; Fungi
Description: eukaryotic LSU rRNA
Rfam family: Eukaryotic large subunit ribosomal RNA
Source: RNAcentral
AUAUCAAUAAGCGGAGGAAAAGAAACCAACAGGGAUUGCCUCAGUAACGGCGAGUGAAGCGGCAAAAGCUCAAAUUUGAAAUCUGGUCGUAGACCCGAGUUGUAAUUUGUAGAGGAAUGUUCGGCGACGUCUAGGUCUGAGUCUUCUGGAAGGAAGCGCCACUGAGGAUGAGAGCCCCGUAGGACUGAUGACUGAACCAUGUGUACAUCCUUCGACGAGUCGAGUUGUUUGGGAAUGCAGCUCAAAACGGGUGGUAAAUUCCAUCUAAAGCUAAAUAUUGGCCAGAGACCGAUAGCGCACAAGUAGAGUGAUCGAAAGAUGAAAAGCACUUUGGAAAGAGAGUGAAACAGUAC